AUUGACCCAAUCGGCAAUAUUAAUAAUUUAGAUAUGUUUAGAGCUGAAAACAACAUUGUUGUUACCAUUUCUUUUCCAUCAGAUCUGGGUUCUAAUAAUAGAAGGGCCUGGCCCCUAUAAAAACCAUAAGAGUAGUCCAUUUUAGGGUUGAUCACACAUGUGAAAUUGUCUCACACCACAAGUCAGCACCCUUAAUGUAGAGGUCUAUUUUGAAUGGAGAUAAUAUAUAUACGUAACAACCAACAUUUAGGGAAGGUUAUGUCAGGAGUAGAGAAGCAUACGGUGAAUGUUGAAGCCAAGAGGAAGAGUGGGCAGCCACUAAGAUGUUUUAUCACCACACACCACGACUUGGAAUCCCCAUAUAGACAAUGACUUUGUGACAGAACUAAAUAAAUGGGGAUCAUCUUUUAGAUCAUACAGUUCAAGGAGAUCAAUUGGGUGUUUGCCACGUACUAUCGUAGACAAAUGAAGGUGAUUUGUAGUGAGACUUGGUUGGAUACAACAAAUGUCAAUUAGACAAGGGAUUUGACUUGCCAUAUUCAACCAUUGAGCCAGUAAACAAAUAAAUAAUUAUGACUUGGCUCAAUUCAACAAACAAAUUAAUAUAAUUAGGGAGGAUUAAAGUAUUGGAAAUUAUGAAAAUGAUAGAAUUAAGAGGAGUAAUAAGACAAAUAAUGCAAUAAAUAUGCCAGAAAGCCCUAACUUAGAGCCCAAUGUAGUAUCCUUUUUGUUUGUUUCUUUCUUCUUGCCUAUCUUCAAGUCUUCCAAAAAUAUGCUAACACCAGGAUCUCUCAUCUUUACUUCACUACCAAGCAGUAUGGAAUUGUUUACCACUUGAAUAUUGUUGUUUACAUAAAUGUUAAUGCAGCAACUAUCUUGUGUCUCACCUGUAUGAGCUCCAUGGCGUAUGGUCAUUGCAGCCCCAACAUUACUUCCCUCCAAGGUGACACGAUCGAACGAGCCAUAGCUGGUUUCUGAGGCCAUGAGGUGUUAUGAUUGAUCUUGAUAAGUUAAUAAUUGCAAGCCAUGAAUGUCGUGAGAGAGGGGAGUAAGUCACAGUUGAUUUCCCAGACUCCUCUUUGCUUGCCUUCUAGGUUAUGCAAUUUGAGUUUUCCCCCUGCCACAGCUAAAAGUGAUGUUCGCCUGGAAUGACUUCAGACACGAUAUAGUGUUUCUCGUAUAGCUUAAGCCGUUUGGGAAUGAGCAGAUCUAUCUCCAUGCAGCAUUUAACACAUCAAAUUGGGGGAAGAAUAAAAAGAAAAUUGUGAUUUGAUGAAGCUUAGGGCUGCUCUCAAGGGCUAAUACAAACCCAAGACUCGACCUAACAAUAGUUUUACAGGAACCUAUGAGAUAAUUUAAUGCAAUUGAUUCUUGUACUUAAUACUCCAACAAAAUAUUCUUUUUAUUUUGAAAACCCAGUUGAAAAACUAAUUACUCUAUCCCAACUUGCACAAGUGCCCAUAAUAUUUCUAACAAUCGUACAACUCAAAAGCAAUUUAAGUAUUAUCGACAUCAUUAUUAUUUCCUAUGGAGUUCCCUUGGAAACUGGUUAUGCUUUGAAAACCUAUGAUGCCAAGGCUUGGAAUUUAUUAGUAAUACCAAAAACUCUACAACAGAUAAAGAUGUGGCUGUCAUAAACAGUUAUCAAGAUCCCAAUCAUCAAGCAAGGUUAUUGAGAUGAAUAUAUGUUCCAUCAUUAGCAGGAGAAACAAGAUUCUUGCAUUCUAGGUCUUUCCAUUCUCUCAAGAAAUUGAAGGCCAUUGCCCAUUCAUUCCAAAUUUUCCAAACAAGCAGCGGACCAGAAACAUUUGGAAAUGAAAGAAGACCCAAAGAACUUAUGGAAAAGCAUCUGGGGAUACCCUUUCACUGACUGUAGAACCAAAUUGUGGCCCACCCUUGCGAUAUGAGAUAAGAAACUCAACAGGGUAUCCCUUCAACUUAUGUGGCACAAUCCCAAGAUCAUGAAAUGUUAAAGCAUUGUCUGACACCACUAUAUCCUUAGUAAGUGCAUUGAUCUCAUCCAAAUUGAAUAUGUUGGGAGUCGGCAACGGGAAUGGAACCUUGUUUAAUAGUACUUCUCGUGGUGUUGCAAGCAGCUUCGCAAUGGGGAAUGGAACUUUGACAUAGCGAGGCCAUUCACGAAUCGUGUCGAACAUAAGCUCUGCCAAUUCAUGCAUAGUAAAGAUUUCUGGUCCACCAAGCUCAUAAACUUUUCCCAUGCUGGUUCCAUCAUCUUUCAGGGCUGCAACAAUUGCAGCAGCUACAUCAACAACAUAUACAGGUUGAAUUCUGCAAAGAAGAAAUUGUUAGGAAAACAUCCACAAGAAGUGCAGGAAAAGAUGUAUGUUCUUUCCACAUAGGCAACUGAUGCAAUAAAGACUCACUUAGUAGAUCCAUCUCCAAUCAAGGGGAGAAAUGAAUAUUUUUUUACAAAAUGCGCCCACCGGUUCAUAAUUCGAUCCUCUGUACCAAUCAUAACAGCAGGUUUCAUGACUGUGGCCUACAGAAGUUGGUGUUGGUUAGAAACUUGGCGGUUGAUACUUGCAGUGGUAACAACCACAGCAAAGGGAAAAUAUGGCGGUACAAAAUUUAAGAGUAUGCAGCGAUGUUUCUUUGAUCUUAAUCAUUAACUAAAUUUCUCUACCUAUUGUACAUUUUUGAACUCUUGGAAGCUACUUAAGAAAACUUUUUGUUUUUUUGGUUGUGCCUCCUUCCUGGCCCAUUCAAAAAUUACACACACUUAUAUUCAUCAUUCAAGAAAAUCAUUGAAUAGCAAAUGCAUCGAUUUGUUAAAUUACAUAGUGUGUCAUCAUCUAGAACACCAUUAAGCUUGUGUGGUUUCCUAAAAAGCCACAAGCUCUAUAGUCUGAAUAAAAUAAUUAAGGGUUAAAAGUUUUAAAAGAAUGUUAUAAUAAGCAUCAGCAAGAAGAAAUAAAUCAAUUUUAGAUCCCAAACAAGUUUAUGCUGCACACAAGUAAAUUGAAGACAUAAGAUCAGAGAAACCCACACCCCACCAAGUUUUCUGUUUUGAAUGUAAGGAAAAAGUUAGAGAAAAUAAUAUUGCUGAUAAUUAUCACUUCAUACAGUGGAAGAGUGCUACCAACUCCAACAUGACAUGAUAAAGAAAUUUUCAUAAACAAUAUUAUAAAUGUAAUCUCCUUAUGAUUUUGAGAAUACUUGGAAAAAAUCAAUAUCAAUUAAUUUAAAAUAAAAAAAAAACUUGGAAGCAGGCAAAAUUUAACAAUAUCCAACUAACUUUUGACAUUUCCAAAAAUGUUAGUGCUUGCACAAUACCCUUACAUACUGUACAAGGAAGGUGGAUGGGAAGGAUGAGUGAAAGCAUGAGAAUGGAAUGGAAAAGAUAUUAAAAGGAACUUCUCUUUCAAAAUACUUUUCUUUCCAAAAGUCAGCAGAAAGAGGGAGAAAACCAUACUGCAUUGUUUUUCUUUUGAAUACAUUCUUUUCUUGAUUUCUUCCUUAUACUUUCCUUUCGUUGAAAGAAAAAGAGGGAAAAACUUCCCUUCCCUUACCUUUCAUAUAAUUUUUCUCUUCUUUCCUUUCUUUCCACCAUGUAUAAUGUAAGCAUAACCAAAAGGCUCCAUUCCUCAGGCAUAAUGCACUAUGCUCAUUGUUUCAUCAGUGUCGAUAUUUGGUUCCACCAUUGGAUUUAAAGUUAAACAACAGCUUCCUAGUCCCAUCUCCUUCAUGCCCAAUUCCAUUCAUAAAAAUAUAUUGUUCAUGGCACUAUUCGGCCUUGUAAAUCAUAAAGAAGAGAGAAAAAAUGGUUGGUGGCCCAUAGCAAACCAGAACUAUAAAUUACCUCAGGCAGUUCUCUUAACACAGCUUCUUCUGCAGCAGCUUUAGCUCUUAGCAUCCUUGAUGCAGAUGAAGGCGAUGCUCCUAAGCAUGAAACUUGAAUAUAUCUCAUGAUACCUCCAUGUUCUUUAGCAAUCAUUGCAAGUUGUUCAGCCAUCGCAUGGUUCACUUGCUCAAAACUGUAGUUUCUUGUCUCAUAUUCCCUUCCAAUAAGAUUAAUAACAACAUUGGCCUUUGCCAUAACAGCCUUAAUUGAAUUUUCAUCUCUUGGUUCAUACUUCAUUGGUACGAUCUGACCCAAAUCACCCAUCAAUUUGAGAUGGCGAUGACAAUCCUCAGAACCUCGGAAAGGAACUAACACUUGAGAUCCCAUUUUAGCAAGUUGCUGCACAAGGUAACGACCAAGGAACCCAGUAGCUCCAAACACUGUAGCAAUAAUGCCACUAACAGAAGAUCUUCCACCAGUACCCUUGCGAACGAGGUGGCCCACACCUUUGGGAGCGAGAGUAGAUCCAUACCGUGGGUGAUCAGCUCCAUAAUAGAGCGGGUUAAUUGAUUUGAGAGACGCAGUUGAAGCUGCGGGAGAGAUAGCCUGGUGACCUAAUCGUCUCGAAAUCGCCUGCAUCGUUCACACUUCAGAGCCGCACAGAGAGAGGGAGACAGAGA
This 4482-nucleotide unclassified non-coding RNA is filed under the name Hevea brasiliensis (rubber tree). Lineage: Eukaryota; Viridiplantae; Streptophyta; Magnoliopsida; Malpighiales; Euphorbiaceae. The record is from RNAcentral.